RNAcentral lists this ribosomal RNA (943 nucleotides) under Flavobacterium sp. BA-97-09. Its description in RNAcentral is "bacterial SSU rRNA". It matches the Rfam family "Bacterial small subunit ribosomal RNA", at positions 60 to 1008 of the family's 1533-position model. The record is from RNAcentral. Lineage: Bacteria; Pseudomonadati; Bacteroidota; Flavobacteriia; Flavobacteriales; Flavobacteriaceae.
AGUCGAGGGGUAUGCUUCUUCGGGAGCAGAGACCGGCGCACGGGUGCGUAACGCGUAUGCAAUCUACCUUUUACAGAGGGAUAGCCCAGAGAAAUUUGGAUUAAUACCUCAUAGUAUAAUAGCUCGGCAUCGAGCAAUUAUUAAAGUCACAACGGUAAAAGAUGAGCAUGCGUCCCAUUAGCUAGUUGGUAAGGUAACGGCUUACCAAGGCUACGAUGGGUAGGGGUCCUGAGAGGGAGAUCCCCCACACUGGUACUGAGACACGGACCAGACUCCUACGGGAGGCAGCAGUGAGGAAUAUUGGACAAUGGGCGCAAGCCUGAUCCAGCCAUGCCGCGUGCAGGAUGACGGUCCUAUGGAUUGUAAACUGCUUUUGUACAGGAAGAAACAGUUCUACGUGUAGAACCUUGACGGUACUGUAAGAAUAAGGAUCGGCUAACUCCGUGCCAGCAGCCGCGGUAAUACGGAGGAUCCAAGCGUUAUCCGGAAUCAUUGGGUUUAAAGGGUCCGUAGGCGGUUUAAUAAGUCAGUGGUGAAAGCCCAUCGCUCAACGGUGGAACGGCCAUUGAUACUGUUAAACUUGAAUUAUUAGGAAGUAACUAGAAUAUGUAGUGUAGCGGUGAAAUGCUUAGAGAUUACAUGGAAUACCAAUUGCGAAGGCAGGUUACUACUAAUGGAUUGACGCUGAUGGACGAAAGCGUGGGUAGCGAACAGGAUUAGAUACCCUGGUAGUCCACGCCGUAAACGAUGGAUACUAGCUGUUGGGAGCAAUUUCAGUGGCUAAGCGAAAGUGAUAAGUAUCCCACCUGGGGAGUACGUUCGCAAGAAUGAAACUCAAAGGAAUUGACGGGGGCCCGCACAAGCGGUGGAGCAUGUGGUUUAAUUCGAUGAUACGCGAGGAACCUUACCAAGGCUUAAAUGUAGAUUGACCGGUUUGGAAACA